RNAcentral lists this long non-coding RNA (1025 nucleotides) under Strigops habroptila (Kakapo). Its description in RNAcentral is "lncRNA (ENSSHBG00005019247.1)". The record is from RNAcentral. Lineage: Eukaryota; Metazoa; Chordata; Aves; Psittaciformes; Psittacidae.
UUUAACAGAUUGUGAAUGAAGUUCAUUUUAGCCAGUCAAAAUCUGAGAUGCAUUUGAAUCAAAAACAUCUCACUGGAAUUCUUUAGUGUCCAUUUGCACUCAUCAGCAAUACUUUUCCAACUAGUCUGCAAAGCUCAGUGAUUGGCACUUUUAUUAAAGACUGUGAAAUAUGGUGUCAUGGCCUAAUCCAAUAAUAACCUGCUACUUAAUAAUACAAUAAUAAUCCUGCUACUUUGAGAGCUCAGUCAAUUUUAUUUAAACCUGCAAGUCUUUGUUCAUGAGCUAAGCACUAAGGCUCAGGCACUUCUGUGCAAGACAAAGUGCCCCAUAGACUGGUACUGCCUUGCGAAUUCACAAGUGCAGAAACAUGCUUACAAGACUGCAUAAAAAGAGCUCUUUUUUGACAUCCUUCAGAUCUGAGAACAUAAAAAUCUUCACUGAGUGGCAGAGAAAAGAGAGGAAAUAUUUUUGUGUCUCAUUUCUUAGGACUAGACCUAUCCCAUCAUGUUUACACAGACUUCCAUAGCCUUUCUGUACAGUAACCACUACUCUUUAUUUAAACAGUUAUUGAUAUUUGCAAUGUUACCAAAAGGUUCCUGUUUGGGUGAUCCCACAGUCUGUAUGCUGCUUUACCAGUGCAAAAGCCAAAUUGCAGGAAAGCAGACUGUUCCUUUGGAAGAACUGACAACCUAUUGCACAAACUCAAUUGUUUGACCUCACACACAGUGGACGGGGGUUUCUGAAAAGAUCUGCUUGUAAUGGAACUGCCACAUCACAGAUGCACUCUGCCCAUUGGUAGAAGCAAACUCUAUCAUUCUGCCGUUUCGAAAGAAAUGUAAAAACAGACAGACAGAGGAAAGGUAAACAGAGGAGGAAAUGAAAAAAGAAACAAGGGGGAGAGAGAAUUUUGUUACUGUAGGGAGCACUGUAGGGAGACGGAAGGAGGGGUCAGCUAGGGCUAAGGCUUUGCUACAUGACAGUAGAUGAAGCCUCAAUCACAUUUGUCAGACAUUGUCUUGCGUAAC